AACCAGGUAGCAUUCCUCAUCGACGUCGGCUCGGCAUGACCCAAUCCAGUGGGACUCAAUCACAACCGAGGCGACCGUCGUUCGCACGUAGCGCAGAACGCUUUUCUUCGUGGGGCAAAAUAGAGGCCGAGGCCUCGUGCCCACCCGAUGUUCCGCAUCCGAGAGAUCGAACAUUACGCCGUGGGCCCGCAACACGAGCGCCGUUAUACCAGCGCGCGAGGGGGGAACACGGCGUUUGCUCUGGGUUCCACCUCGCCCCACAACACCGAACGGUGUAGCGGCACAGGGCGGAAAAUUGACAAUCUUGCCGGCGAAAUGCCUUCGCGAUAGGUAUUGAACACAGGAAGCCGACAUCGGACAAGGCGAAGGCGCGCUUGUGCCAACGAUUGAAGAGGCGCGGUUGGGAUGUCG
Molecule: unclassified non-coding RNA, 411 nt
Filed under: Newcastelia bracteosa
Lineage: Eukaryota; Viridiplantae; Streptophyta; Magnoliopsida; Lamiales; Lamiaceae
Description: partial external transcribed spacer
Source: RNAcentral